This 248-nucleotide ribosomal RNA is filed under the name Vibrio cholerae. RNAcentral's name for it is "partial 23S ribosomal RNA". It matches the Rfam family "Bacterial large subunit ribosomal RNA", at positions 579 to 830 of the family's 2925-position model. The record is from RNAcentral. Lineage: Bacteria; Pseudomonadati; Pseudomonadota; Gammaproteobacteria; Vibrionales; Vibrionaceae.
GCCCCUUCGUGGGGUGACUGCGUACCUUUUGUAUAAUGGGUCAGCGACUUAUUGUCUGUGGCAAGCUUAACCGAUUAGGGGAGGCGAAGGGAAACCGAGUCUGAAUAGGGCGUAUAGUCGCAGGCAAUAGACCCGAAACCGGGUGAUCUAGCCAUGCCCAGGGUGAAGGUGCCGUAACAGGUACUGGAGGCCCGAACCCACUCCUGUUGCAAAAGUAGGGGAUGAGGUGUGGCUAGGAGUGAAAAGCU